Molecule: ribosomal RNA, 370 nt
Filed under: uncultured Pseudomonas sp.
Lineage: Bacteria; Pseudomonadati; Pseudomonadota; Gammaproteobacteria; Pseudomonadales; Pseudomonadaceae
Description: bacterial SSU rRNA
Rfam family: Bacterial small subunit ribosomal RNA
Source: RNAcentral
GUGCCUUCGGGAACUCUGACACAGGUGCUGCAUGGCUGUCGUCAGCUCGUGUCGUGAGAGUGUUGGGUUAAGUCCCGUAACGAGCGCAACCCUUGUCCUUAGUUACCAGCACGUUAUGGUGGGCACUCUAAGGAGACUGCCGGUGACAAACCGGAGGAAGGUGGGGAUGACGUCAAGUCAUCAUGGCCCUUACGGCCUGGGCUACACACGUGCUACAAUGGUCGGUACAAAGGGUUGCCAAGCCGCGAGGUGGAGCUAAUCCCAUAAAACCGAUCGUAGUCCGGAUCGCAGUCUGCAACUCGACUGCGUGAAGUCGGAAUCGCUAGUAAUCGUGAAUCAGAAUGUCACGGUGAAUACGUUCCCGGGCCUU